This 2335-nucleotide ribosomal RNA is filed under the name hydrothermal vent metagenome. RNAcentral's name for it is "LSU rRNA". It matches the Rfam family "Bacterial large subunit ribosomal RNA", at positions 1 to 2351 of the family's 2925-position model. The record is from RNAcentral.
UCAGUCUUUUUGGGGUUAUAUGAUCAAGCGACCAAGCGCGCAUGGUGGAUGCCUAGGUGGUAAGAGGCGAUGAAGGACGUUGUAGCCUGCGAUAAGCCUCGGGGAGCCGGCAAACAGGCUUUGAUCCGAGGAUUUCCGAAUGGGGAAACCCAGCCCUUCGGGGUUAUCACACACUGAAUACAUAGGUGUGUGAGGCGAACCUGGUGAACUGAAAUAUCUAAGUAACCAGAGGAAAAGAAAUCAACCGAGAUUCCCUGAGUAGCGACGAGCGAACGGGGAACAGCCCUUAAGUCGUGGUGUGGUUAGUGGAACGGUCUGGAAAGUCCGGUCAUAGAGGGUGACAACCCCGUACACGAAAACCUAUCCACGAUGAAAUCGAGUAGGGCGGGACACGUGAAAUCCUGUCUGAACAUGGGGGGACCAUCCUCCAAGGCUAAAUACUCCUUACCGACCGAUAGUGAACCAGUACCGUGAGGGAAAGGCGAAAAGAACCCCUGUUAGGGGAGUGAAAUAGAACCUGAAACCGUGUGCGUACAAGCAGUGGGAGCCUGGCUUCGGCCGGGUGACUGCGUACCUUUUGUAUAAUGGGUCAGCGACUUACAUCUCAGUGGCAAGCUUAACCGUAUAGGGGAGGCGUAGCGAAAGCGAGUCUUAAUAGGGCGUCUUAGUCGCUGGGAGUAGACCCGAAACCGGACGAUCUAGCCAUGGCCAGGUUGAAGGUCGGGUAAUACCGACUGGAGGACCGAACCAACUGACGUUGAAAAGUCAGUGGAUGAGCUGUGGCUAGGAGUGAAAGGCUAAACAAGUCCGGAGAUAGCUGGUUCUCCUCGAAAGCUAUUUAGGUAGUGCCUCGUGUCUCACUUCUGGGGGUAGAGCACUGUUAUGGCUAGGGCUGCGUCUAGUAGUACCAAACCAUUGCAAACUCCGAAUACCAGAAAGUGCAAUCACGGGAGUCAGACGGCGGGAGAUAAGUUUCGUCGUCGAAAGGGAAACAGCCCAGACCGCCAGCUAAGGUCCCCAAAUCACAGCUCAGUGGGAAACGAUGUGGGAAGGCCCAGACAGCCAGGAGGUUGGCUUAGAAGCAGCCAUCCUUUAAAGAAAGCGUAAUAGCUCACUGGUCAAGUCGGCCUGCGCGGAAGAUAUACCGGGGCUAAGCUGUGUACCGAAGCUGCGGAUGCAAGCUUGCUUGCAUGGUAGAGGAGCGUUCUGUAGGCCUGCGAAGGUGUGCUGUGAGGCAUGCUGGAGGUAUCAGAAGUGCGAAUGCUGACGUGAGUAACGAUAAAGGGGGUGAAAGACCCCCUCGCCGGAAGUCCAAGGUUUCCUGCGCAACGUUAAUCGGCGCAGGGUUAGUCGGCCCCUAAGGCGAGGCUGAAAAGCGUAGUCGAUGGGCAACAGGUUAAUAUUCCUGUACCGCGUGUAAUUGCGAUGGGGGGACGGAGAAGGCUAGACCAGCCGGGCGACGGUUGUCCCGGUUUAAGCAGGUAGGGAGUGUUCUUAGGUAAAUCCGGGAGCGCAAUCCUGAGCUGUGAUGACGAGGUUUCUUUUGAAACUGAAGUGGUUGAUGCCAUGCUUCCAGGAAAAUCCUCUAAGCUUCAGAUUACAUGUGACCGUACCCCAAACCGACACAGGUGGACAGGGCGAGAAGCCCAAGGCGCUUGAGAGAACUCGGGUGAAGGAACUCGGCAAAAUGACACCGUAACUUCGGGAGAAGGUGUACCCCCAUUAAGUGAUGGUCUUCGCGACCGGAGCGGAAGGGGGUUGCAACAAAGAGGUGGCUGCGACUGUUUAUUAAAAACAUAGCACUCUGCAAACUCGUAAGAGGACGUAUAGGGUGUGACGCCUGCCCGGUGCCGGAAGGUUAAUUGAUGGGGUUAGUCUUCGGACGAAGCUCUUGAUCGAAGCCCCGGUGAACGGCGGCCGUAACUAUAACGGUCCUAAGGUAGCGAAAUUCCUUGUCGGGUAAGUUCCGACCUGCACGAAUGGCGUAACGAUGGCCACACUGUCUCCACCCGGGACUCAGUGAAAUCGAAAUUGCUGUGAAGAUGCAGUGUACCCACACCAAGACGGAAAGACCCCGUGCACCUUUACUACAACUUCACACUGGACUUUGAAUAUGGCUGUGUAGGAUAGGUGGGAGGCUUUGAAGCUGGGACGCUAGUUCUGGUGGAGCCAACCUUGAAAUACCACCCUGUUAUGUCUGGGGCCCUAACCGAGAUCCGUUAUCCGGACCCGGAACAGUGUGUGGUGGGUAGUUUGACUGGGGCGGUCUCCUCCCAAAGAGUAACGGAGGAGCACGAAGGUGUCCUAAGCGCGGUCGGAAAUCGCGCGGUUCGUG